Molecule: small nuclear RNA, 122 nt
Organism: Monodelphis domestica (gray short-tailed opossum)
Lineage: Eukaryota; Metazoa; Chordata; Mammalia; Didelphimorphia; Didelphidae
Source: Ensembl
GUGUUGUAUGAAAGAAGAGAAAGUUAGCAUUCCCUUUAAUAGAAAUGGAAAAGAUUCUAGUGGCCUUUAUAACACACAUAUGAUCCAGGCAUUGCCAUCUACUCUGGUAUCUAGCAUUUUUU